CCUACGGGAGGCAGCAGUGGGGAAUAUUGCACAAUGGGGGAAACCCUGAUGCAGCGACGCCGCGUGAGUGAAGAAGUAAUUCGUUAUGUAAAGCUCUAUCAGCAGGGAAGAAACAGACGGUACCUGAGUAAGAAGCCCCGGCUAACUACGUGCCAGCAGCCGCGGUAAUACGUAGGGGGCAAGCGUUAUCCGGAUUUACUGGGUGUAAAGGGAGCGUAGACGGCGAAGAAAGUCUGAAGUGAAAGCCCGCGGCUUAACCGCGGAACUGCUUUGGAAACUUUUUUGCUGGAGUACCGGAGAGGUAAGCGGAAUUCCUAGUGUAGCGGUGAAAUGCGUAGAUAUUAGGAGGAACACCAGUGGCGAAGGCGGCUUACUGGACGGUAACUGACGUUGAGGCUCGAAAGCGUGGGGAGCAAACAGGAUUAGAUACCCUAGUAG
This 438-nucleotide ribosomal RNA is filed under the name uncultured bacterium. RNAcentral's name for it is "bacterial SSU rRNA". It matches the Rfam family "Bacterial small subunit ribosomal RNA", at positions 338 to 793 of the family's 1533-position model. The record is from RNAcentral.